AGGUAGUGGUGUGCAACGCCG
RNAcentral lists this unclassified non-coding RNA (21 nucleotides) under Chlamydomonas reinhardtii. RNAcentral's name for it is "small RNA Cre_0589". Lineage: Eukaryota; Viridiplantae; Chlorophyta; Chlorophyceae; Chlamydomonadales; Chlamydomonadaceae. The record is from RNAcentral.